AUUGAACGCUGGCGGCAGGCCUAACACAUGCAAGUCGAGCGGAUGAAGGGAGCUUGCUCCUGGAUUCAGCGGCGGACGGGUGAGUAAUGCCUAGGAAUCUGCCUGGUAGUGGAGGAUAACGUCCGGAAACGGGCGCUAAUACCGCAUACGUCCUGAGGGAGAAAGUGGGGGAUCUUCGGACCUCACGCUAUCAGAUGAGCCUAGGUCGGAUUAGCUAGUUGGUGGGGUAAAGGCCUACCAAGGCGACGAUCCGUAACUGGUCUGAGAGGAUGAUCAGUCACACUGGAACUGAGACACGGUCCAGACUCCUACGGGAGGCAGCAGUGGGGAAUAUUGGACAAUGGGCGAAAGCCUGAUCCAGCCAUGCCGCGUGUGUGAAGAAGGUCCUCGGAUUGUAAAGCACUUUAAGUUGGGAGGAAGGGCAGUAAGUUAAUACCUUGCUGUUUUGACGUUACCAACAGAAUAAGCACCGGCUAACUUCGUG
This 484-nucleotide ribosomal RNA is filed under the name uncultured bacterium. RNAcentral describes it as "partial 16S ribosomal RNA". It matches the Rfam family "Bacterial small subunit ribosomal RNA", at positions 30 to 507 of the family's 1533-position model. The record is from RNAcentral.